RNAcentral lists this ribosomal RNA (202 nucleotides) under uncultured bacterium. RNAcentral's name for it is "partial 16S ribosomal RNA". It matches the Rfam family "Bacterial small subunit ribosomal RNA", at positions 1299 to 1500 of the family's 1533-position model. The record is from RNAcentral.
UGCAGCCUGCAACUCGGCUGCAUGAAGCUGGAAUCGCUAGUAAUCGCAGAUCAGAAUGCUGCGGUGAAUACGUUCCCGGGUCUUGUACACACCGCCCGUCACACCAUGGGAGUUGGGAAUGCCCGAAGUCAGUGACCCAACCGCAAGGAGGGAGCUGCCGAAGGCAGGCUUGAUAACUGGGGUGAAGUCGUAACAAGGUAUC